Molecule: transfer RNA, 69 nt
Filed under: Marmota monax (woodchuck)
Lineage: Eukaryota; Metazoa; Chordata; Mammalia; Rodentia; Sciuridae
Description: tRNA.Thr
Rfam family: tRNA
About the family: Transfer RNA (tRNA) molecules are approximately 80 nucleotides in length. Their secondary structure includes four short double-helical elements and three loops (D, anti-codon, and T loops). Further hydrogen bonds mediate the characteristic L-shaped molecular structure. tRNAs have two regions of fundamental functional importance: the anti-codon, which is responsible for specific mRNA codon recognition, and the 3' end, to which the tRNAs corresponding amino acid is attached (by aminoacyl-tRNA synthetases). tRNAs cope with the degeneracy of the genetic code in two manners: having more than one tRNA (with a specific anti-codon) for a particular amino acid; and 'wobble' base-pairing, i.e. permitting non-standard base-pairing at the 3rd anti-codon position.
Source: RNAcentral
GUGGUGCAGCUCAGCGGUAGAGUGCGUGCCCUGUGUGCAUGAGGUCCUGGGUUCAAUUCCAGCACCACA